This 366-nucleotide unclassified non-coding RNA is filed under the name uncultured bacterium. RNAcentral's name for it is "contains 16S-23S intergenic spacer region". The record is from RNAcentral.
UCCUCGUUGACCGAGGCAGUCUCGUAUGAAAAAUACAACAUACGACAAGGGUUGCGCUCGUUGCGGGACUUAACCCAACAUCUCACGACACGAGCUGACGACGGCCAUGCAUCACCUGUCACCGGUCCAGCAGACUGACUCCCAUGUUUCCAUGGGAUACGACCGGGAUGUCAAGCCCAGGUAGGGUUCUUCGCUUAGCAUCGCAUUAAACCACACGCUCCACCGCUUGUGCGGGUCCCCGUCAAUUCCUUUAUGUUUUAGCCUUGCGGCCGUACUCCACAGGCGGGGCACUUAACGCGUUAGCUACGACACCCAGGGGGUCUAAUCCCCGAAUGCCUAGUGCCCAUCGUUUACGGCGUGGACUAC